Molecule: long non-coding RNA, 971 nt
Organism: Anastrepha obliqua
Lineage: Eukaryota; Metazoa; Arthropoda; Insecta; Diptera; Tephritidae
Exons: 4
Source: RefSeq, a predicted model, not a curated record
CAAAAUAGAAACUUUGCAUUUAAUUUAAUAUAACAAAGUUAAAUAAAUACUGAUCAAAAUGAAAAGUCGUGAAAAGAAAAAAUAAAAAUUAAUAUUAUAUAUGUGAAAAAAAUAAGUGACAAAUGUGCCAGUGAGUAGUGCCCAGUGAGAAAUCGUCGCGCAAAAAAAAAAUUUCAGGUCGGGCUUUAGAUUAAUUACACAAGUGUUAAGUGGUAAUUUGUUGGCAUUUCGGUGUUGCAUGUAAAAAAAAGUCCACAUGUACGCGUUACCAGUGACGGCAAUUUAGUGGAUGGGCCACCCACAAGUAAUCCUUGGACCACGGCAAAGAAGGAGCGCCAUCAGAAUUUACGUAUGGAGCUCGCAUUUGGAUCAUCAUGGAGCGAGGGCGAAAUAUGUUUAGCAAGAAUUAUCAAUAUCAAUUUGGAAACAAUCAUCUGCCGUAAAAUCAUGGAAUUGCACCAUCAGAAGCAUCAUCAACAUAUGUGCACAACUUGAAUGCUGCCAAGGCGCAGUUUGCUGAAGCACAGAAAAGCUGAUGUGACUACGACCAUCCCAUGUUGAAGCUAUCUGGGAUGCCGCCAGCUGGAAGGAUAUCUUUAAUCACCUCGUUGCCGCUGCUAAGAGAUGUUUGAGUCAUCCAAGCUUUAAUUGACCUAGAGAAAAAUUCGAAUUUGUGGGACGAAUGUUGGGCAAAGCGGUGCUUACUCGUAAAGGAUAAAAUGAAGGAGCUAGAAGUGCAUUCGGUGGUAGAAAUCAACAUCAAGUUAGGGCGGCACAAAAGGCGGUCGCCCAUGCAUGCGCGAUUCGUAGGAGAAAUUCGCGUGUGCUAUCUAACUUAGAGUAUUGAGAGUAUGACACGUCGCAUCAUCAAACUAAACAACUACAACCAAAACGCGCCGAAAAGAUUCCUUAAAUGAAAACUUUGACAUUGUUAAAAUAGUUGACGAUUUUGAAGUAGUUUAAAAUUUAUU